This 69-nucleotide transfer RNA is filed under the name Rattus norvegicus (Norway rat). It matches the Rfam family "tRNA". Rfam says of the family: Transfer RNA (tRNA) molecules are approximately 80 nucleotides in length. Their secondary structure includes four short double-helical elements and three loops (D, anti-codon, and T loops). The record is from Rfam by way of RNAcentral. Lineage: Eukaryota; Metazoa; Chordata; Mammalia; Rodentia; Muridae.
GGGGAUUUAGCUCAGUGGUAGAGCGCUUGCCUAGGAAGCGCAAGGCCCUGGGAUCGAUCCCCAGCUCCG